CCCAGAGUGAAAGACAGAGGAACCAAUCGAGGCUCGGCUGACCUCAGACGUCUAAGGCGAUAGGCGUUGCUAAGAAAAGGGGGUGGGACGAUACCCAGUUGCCAAGACGACGGCUUCCGGGUGGGCGGCUUGAGGUGGCUUCCGGCCGCCAGGCGAGACUCCGCGGGAAAACUCCCUGCUAGAGAGACUAGGAGAUUUGGGGCUGCGGCCGUUUCCUCCGGAGCACCCACGGGACUGUGUGCUGGGGUCCCUCCACCGGCUGUGUCCUUUAUUCUUCUUUCUCACCCAACGAUUUACCUGAACGGUUAUAAAGUGCACGUUAUUUCCCUAAGCACUUUGAGUAUAUUGGCCCACUGCAUUCUGGACUUCAAAAUUUCUGAUGCGAAAUAUGCUGAUACUUUUGUUGAAGAAAUCUGGGCUUUGAGCAUCUGUAAGAUAUUUGUUGGAAGGUUUUGUCUGGUCCUUCUUACUGAUGUGUUGCUCUUCUUCAUGGCUCGUGAAAACUAUUAGAGUCAUCCAAGGUUUGGAGACAGAAAGGAGCACCGCCAAGUGAGGCAGAGCAGUCUCAGAAACAUAGGAAAAUGGUGGGAAGAGAGAUCAGCAACGUUAACUGGGUGUCAAGAAAACAUACCGAGAUUGAAGCCAUCCACUUCUGCAGGAACACCGAAAAGAAAGGACUGUGAAGACAACCAGAGUGGGAAGGAACCUCAGAAACCUUUGGACCAACAGAGGAAAAAGCCCAGAGGUGCAGGACAUAGAUCAAAACCAGUCGCAUGCGAGUCAUUCUAGGAUCCGGCCAAAGUUAAUUAACAGAGGGCCAUUCAGUCUCCACCGAGUCAAACAAUAAUUAGGAUGAAACAAUCCUAUUAACCCAUGGAUUUAAUGUCUACAAAGCAGAAAGUAGAAUAACUUGGACUUAAAGGCUGAAUGACCCAUUUCUUCAGCCUCCUCUCAAAGGCAAUAUUUCUCAGCCCUUCAGUCAUUUUCAUUGCUCUCUUCUGGCCUCUCUCCAAGAUUCUGUAUCUUGUUUAAAUAGUGAAGUCCAACACCGAACAUGAUUUAAGAACAGUCAUGCCUGGAAAAGUAACAAAGGCCCAACGAAUACGGACUCCAGAAAGUAAACAUUUUCUCAAAAACAAAAGUAUUGUAAUAUUAAUAAUGGUAGUAAGAAUUAGGUUGACCAAAUAAAAUCAUUUUUGUUGCCC
Molecule: long non-coding RNA, 1205 nt
Filed under: Homo sapiens (human)
Lineage: Eukaryota; Metazoa; Chordata; Mammalia; Primates; Hominidae
Description: HSALNT0233312
Source: RNAcentral